GUCUCCGUAGCUCAGCCGGAUAGAGCAUCAGAUUCCUAAUCUGGGGGCCGUGGGUUCGAAUCCCGCCGGGGACACCA
This 77-nucleotide transfer RNA is filed under the name Acetobacteraceae bacterium H6797. RNAcentral's name for it is "tRNA-Arg". It matches the Rfam family "tRNA". Rfam says of the family: Transfer RNA (tRNA) molecules are approximately 80 nucleotides in length. Their secondary structure includes four short double-helical elements and three loops (D, anti-codon, and T loops). Further hydrogen bonds mediate the characteristic L-shaped molecular structure. tRNAs have two regions of fundamental functional importance: the anti-codon, which is responsible for specific mRNA codon recognition, and the 3' end, to which the tRNAs corresponding amino acid is attached (by aminoacyl-tRNA synthetases). tRNAs cope with the degeneracy of the genetic code in two manners: having more than one tRNA (with a specific anti-codon) for a particular amino acid; and 'wobble' base-pairing, i.e. permitting non-standard base-pairing at the 3rd anti-codon position. The record is from RNAcentral. Lineage: Bacteria; Pseudomonadati; Pseudomonadota; Alphaproteobacteria; Acetobacterales; Acetobacteraceae.